UACAGAGGGGGCAAGCGUUGUUCGGAAUUACUGGGCGUAAAGCGCACGUAGGCGGGUUGUUAAGUCAGGGGUGAAAUCCUGGAGCUCAACUCCAGAACUGCCUUUGAUACUGGCAACCUAGAGACUGGAAGAGGUUAGUGGAAUUCCCAGUGUAGAGGUGAAAUUCGUAGAUAUUGGGAAGAACACCAGUGGCGAAGGCGGCUAACUGGUCCAGCACUGACGCUGAGGUGCGAAAGCGUGGGGAGCAAACAGG
RNAcentral lists this ribosomal RNA (253 nucleotides) under uncultured bacterium. RNAcentral describes it as "partial 16S ribosomal RNA". It matches the Rfam family "Bacterial small subunit ribosomal RNA", at positions 524 to 776 of the family's 1533-position model. The record is from RNAcentral.